RNA transcript from Cornus florida, 2791 nucleotides. It is a transcript of the gene named tyrosyl-DNA phosphodiesterase 1, with no coding region annotated. The transcript has 17 exons. NCBI's taxonomy places the organism in Eukaryota, Viridiplantae, Streptophyta, Magnoliopsida, Cornales, Cornaceae. The record is from RefSeq and is a predicted model, not a curated record.
GGUAUGUAGCCUGGUCUAUAUAACUAUAGCGCGCGAAAAUUGGCAGCAACGGAGCCUGUCGCAGCCGUCCUCCGAUACUUGAACGCGACGGAGCUUCCUCUGCUCUGCUACCUCUCUAUUCCUUUUUUCCACCGAUUCACAAUCAACACAAUACCAGUUAGGGUUAGGGUUAGGGUUCCCCAAAUUCAAUCCUCCCUUUUCUCCAGACUUUCUACAAACCAACACCACCACUUACUUUCCCAACUCCUCUCCCAGUACAAGUCGGUCUCGAAACUUCUUCUCUUCACUCAAGUCUCAUGCAAUGAACGAUUCAUCAAUGGCAGAGUCUUCUCAGAUUGGAUAUUUGGUCCCCCUUGAUAGCAAGCUAGAUGAUGACAUUUCAAUCCCCAAAAUACCACUUUCCCGAGGCCGUAAUGUUGUCGGCCGCGAUAGCGUUCCAGUCACCGACAAGAGACUCAGCCGCAAACAUCUCACUAUAAAUGCCUCUGUCGACGGUUCUGCUCAUGUCCUUGUGGAAGGGUCAAAUCCGGUCGUUAUUAGAUCUGGGGAUCAGAGGAAGAAGCUGUUGUCUCAAGAAAGGUUGACAAUUAAACCCGGUGAUGUCAUUGAGCUGAUCCCUGGCCAUCAUUUUUUUAAGUAUGCAGUGUCAGCCGGUGAGGAAAAAACAAUAUCGCCCAAUAACCGGAAGAGGACUUUGGAUAAAGCUACCAAGCUUAGUGAAGGUGAGCCAUCGGGUCAGAAGAGGAUGCGGCAACUAUCUAAAGACGAAGCAUUUGCAAGACAAUUGCAGGCUGAGAUGGACAAUGAUAGUUUAAACCAAGAAAGGUCUGUUGAGGCUAUCCGGCAUUUUCACAUUUCAAAUGAAAAAUUACCUUUAACCUUUCGACUUUUGCGAGUGCAAGGGCUGCCGGCAUGGGCUAAUACAUCAUCUGUUUCUAUAGGAGAUGUGAUUCAGGGAGAUGUGCUCAUUGCUGUGCUAUCAAACUACAUGGUGGACAUCGACUGGUUGAAUUCUGCAUGUCCACCACUUAAAAAGGUUCCUCACGUGUUGGUUAUUCAUGGAGAGGGCGAUGGUACCCUAGAAUAUAUGAAGAGAAACAAACCUGCGAAUUGGAUUCUGCACAAGCCUCCACUACCCAUUUCUUAUGGGACACAUCAUUCAAAAGCCAUGUUUCUUGUAUAUCCUCGAGGAGUGAGAAUUAUUGUACAUACAGCAAACUUAAUACAUGUUGAUUGGAAUAACAAAAGUCAAGGUUUGUGGAUGCAAGAUUUUCCCUGGAAAGAUCAAAAUAAUCCAAGUAAAGGAUGUGGAUUUGAAAGUGACCUAGUUGACUAUCUUAGUGCAUUGAAGUGGCCUGAAUUUAAUGUUAAUUUACCAACCCUGGGCAACAUCAGAAUCAAUUCAUCAUUCUUCAAGAAGUUUGAUUACAGCAAUGCUGGGGUCAGGUUGAUUGCAUCUGUUCCUGGGUAUCAUACAGGUCCCAAUCUGAAAAAAUGGGGACAUAUGAAGUUGCGUACUAUUCUCAAUGAGUGCAUUUUUGACGAAGAAUUUCAGAGGUCCCCACUUGUCUAUCAGUUCUCCUCCCUAGGUUCUUUGGAUGAGAAGUGGAUGGCUGAGCUGGCAUCCUCGAUGUCAUCAGGAGUGUCAGAAGAUAAAACACCCCUGGGUUUAGGGGAGCCACUAAUAGUAUGGCCCACGGUGGAAGAUGUCAGAUGCUCUUUAGAGGGUUAUGCAGCUGGAAGUUGCAUUCCAAGCCCACAAAAGAAUGUGGAGAAGGAAUUCUUGAAGAAGUAUUGGGCAAAAUGGAAGGCGAACCACUCCGGUCGCGGUCGUGCAAUGCCUCAUAUAAAGACAUUCACACGUUACAAUGGUCAGAACCUUGCUUGGUUGUUGCUGACUUCAGCAAAUCUCAGCAAAGCUGCUUGGGGGGCACUUCAGAAAAACAAUUCUCAGUUGAUGGUCCGUUCUUAUGAGCUGGGAGUGCUAUUCCUAACUUCUUCUAUCAAACACGGUUGUGGUUUUUCUUGUACAGACGGUGGUAACCCAUCAGAGGAUAAAUGUGAAUCCUUUAGUAGUUCUAACGGGAAAAGAACAAAAUUAGUGACCCUGGCUUGUCAAGGAAGCAGGAAUACAAAUUCAACUGAAGUAAUUCAAUUGCCUGUGCCUUAUGAACUCCCUCCUCAGCCAUACUCCUCUGAAGAUGUUCCCUGGUCUUGGGACAGGCGAUAUUACAAGAAAGAUGUGAAUGGCCAAGUUUGGCCCAGAUGAGUAAAGCUUUAUGAUUCCUAGGAUUCCUGAUCUCUUUGUAAAACAACGGCCAAGGUGUUAAUAACAGAUGGCACCGAGUCACCGGCUAAAUAAGAAUCUCCUGUCCAGCCUUGAAAUCUACCUCUCCUGUCCACAUGUGGUGCCUAUUUUCUUGAUAAUUAAUUAAUACAAUUAAGCUCUUAAUAUGGUUCUAUCAGAUGGUUCAAAGUUCUGUCUUGGUUCGAGAGGGUCCACACUCUAUCAUAUACGUCAGGAGUCCAUUGAUGAGAGUGGGCUACGCAAUUGAAAUAUGGUGAUGAAUAUGACCGCAAUUGAAAUUCUUGGGGAGUUAUGUAAAAUUCUCGAGGAAGGUCAGGGUCAAAUGCAAUUUGUUCCAUUGUUUGACAACGCUGGAGGAGCAAUUGCCCAUCAGAAGAUCCCAUCAAAUAUUAUUAAAUUUGUUUCUUACUAUAUUUUUCUUUUUGAAUUCAUCUCAAGUGUUUUUUCAAGCAGUUAACAUGUCAAAAAUAUCCAAUUCACAAA